GCCGCGGUAGCUCAGGUGGUAGAGCGCAGCCCUGAAAAGGCUGGCGUCGGCGGUUCAACUCCGUCCCGCGGCACCA
RNAcentral lists this transfer RNA (76 nucleotides) under Acidobacteria bacterium 13_1_20CM_2_60_10. Its description in RNAcentral is "tRNA-Phe". It matches the Rfam family "tRNA". Rfam says of the family: Transfer RNA (tRNA) molecules are approximately 80 nucleotides in length. Their secondary structure includes four short double-helical elements and three loops (D, anti-codon, and T loops). The record is from RNAcentral. RNAcentral also lists the same sequence under 7 other names. Lineage: Bacteria; Pseudomonadati; Acidobacteriota.